CAAUAGCGUAUAUUAAAGUUGUUGCGGUAAAAAAGCUCGUAGUUGGACUUCUGUUGAGAGCGACCGGUCCAUACCAUGUAUGCGUAUCUGGCUUGCUCUCGGCAUCCUCUCGAUAGACGUUACUGCGCUUGAUUGCGUGGUGCGGAUCUCGGGACUUUUACUUUGAGGAAAUUAGAGUGUUCACGGCAGGCUUUCGCCAGAAUACAUUAGCAUGGAAUAAUACUAUAGGAUCUUGGUUCUAUUUUGUUGGUUUCUAGAAUUGAGAUAAUGAUUAAUAGGGACAAUUGGGGGCAUUCGUAUCAACACGUCAGAGGUGGAAUUCUUGGAUUGUGUUGCGACGAACUACUGCGAAAGCAUUUGCCAAGGAUGUUUUCAUUGA
This 379-nucleotide ribosomal RNA is filed under the name uncultured eukaryote. RNAcentral's name for it is "partial 18S ribosomal RNA". It matches the Rfam family "Eukaryotic small subunit ribosomal RNA", at positions 592 to 976 of the family's 1831-position model. The record is from RNAcentral.